UACGUAGGGUGCAAGCGUUGUCCGGAAUUAUUGGGCGUAAAGAGCUCGUAGGCGGUCUGUCACGUCGGCUGUGAAAUCCCGAGGCUCAACCUCGGGUCUGCAGUCGAUACGGGCAAACUAGAGUAUUGCAGGGGAGACUGGAAUUCCUGGUGUAGCGGUGAAAUGCGCAGAUAUCAGGAGGAACACCGGUGGCGAAGGCGGGUCUCUGGGCAAUAACUGACGCUGAGGUGCGAAAGCCAGGGGAGCGAACGGG
RNAcentral lists this ribosomal RNA (253 nucleotides) under uncultured bacterium. RNAcentral describes it as "partial 16S ribosomal RNA". It matches the Rfam family "Bacterial small subunit ribosomal RNA", at positions 524 to 776 of the family's 1533-position model. The record is from RNAcentral.